This is a long non-coding RNA of Aegilops tauschii subsp. strangulata, 1304 nucleotides long. RefSeq lists it as uncharacterized. The record is from RefSeq and is a predicted model, not a curated record. NCBI's taxonomy places the organism in Eukaryota, Viridiplantae, Streptophyta, Magnoliopsida, Poales, Poaceae.
UCACAAACACCAGAAACUAGUUGCAACUCCUGGACAGAGUACAUGGGGGUUAAUAAAUCGAGCGGGGUCAUAUCUCAGGGCCCAAUGUGUGGUAGUAGUUGUUCUUGGAUCACAAACACAUAAAACAGUUCCUAAGGACGAUUCCAAUGAGACAACCCACCAUGUAAUCCUACAUGGCCUCUCAUCGCUACCUUUACCAAAUCAUGUUCACAUACUUAGCUCUCAAUAGCAGGACAUGUUCACCACCAUCCCAAUCCAUCCUAGAUGAAUCAGACCUGACACAACUCUAAGCAUAGAAGGCAUAACAAGCAAGCAUGAAUGAGUAGGCACAUCAUGGCUCAAACAACUCCUACUCAUGCUAGUGGGUUUCAACUAUUUACUGUGGCAAAGACAGGUCAUGCAGAGGAAUGGGUUCAACUACCGCAAUAUCUAACAGUUGAAUCGUUGUUGUCCUAAUGCAGUAAAAGAGAGUAGGAGCGCGAGAGUGGGAUUGUAUCAGAAUGCUCAAAGGGGGUUUGCUUGCCUGACACUUCUGAAGAUAGUAGCUCUUCAUCGGUGUCAUCGAUCUCACCAUCGGAACAACGCCUACUGAGAGGGAACUACACUAGCAAAACACAAAAAGGAACAACAUUCAAUGCAAUGCACAACCAAAUGCAUGAUAUGCCAUAUUGAGGAGCAACGUCUUAAUAUGUACUCCCUCCGUUCCUAAAUGACAUUUAUGGGUCCAGACUUGUGGCGUUCUUUUUUGGUACGCCGGACUAUUUAGCCGAUCGCCGAACUAUGGCCUGUGAUCGCCAGACUUAUGGCGUCUUUUCUGCGAACUGUUGACUGUGAUCGCCGGACUUGUGGCGUCUUUUGUGAGCGGGAACGAACAAGUUUGAAAUUGCCGCGACCUGGGGGGCGGCGCCUGGGGGUGUGACUGGGAGCUAGGUCGCCCCAGGGGCCAAUCUAGCGCCGGCUCGCCCUCAGGCCGCUCUUUUUCGGCGCCCUGGGGGGCCGAACGGAUGGAGAUGCUCUAACAGGGGUCUGUUAGAAGCUGUGCAUUGGAGGUGGCCUCGACAGUGGCAGCCUGACUUCGGCGGCUCAUUCUUCCACCUAUGGUUCCCCCUUCACCCCUUUCCGAUGGUACUUACUGGAGAUGGUAUGCUUGCUUGGUGGAGCCAAUGGUGCAAUCAAGGGGAUUGGGGCGCUCACUCCCGAGUGUUUUUUUUAGGGAAAGCCAUUGUGGCUCUGUAUAUUAAUUUGGAAUAAUAUCUUCAUAAUCUGCAAGAAUUGCAAGUAAGAAGCUGUAGACUUGCCCUUUG